RNAcentral lists this long non-coding RNA (1722 nucleotides) under Triticum aestivum (bread wheat). RNAcentral's name for it is "long non-coding RNA (TAES_LNC019191)". The record is from RNAcentral. Lineage: Eukaryota; Viridiplantae; Streptophyta; Magnoliopsida; Poales; Poaceae.
UGGCGCCGAGAUAGGUUCAAAAAAAUGGGGGCAACAACAACAGUAGUAACAACAUCGAAGAGCUGGAGAUGAGCAAGUUAGGUACUGGCAAUGACAUCGACAAGUAAACACACUACUGUCUCAAAUGUUCUGACAUUCUUUUUCGUAUGCAAAAAUUCGAAUUUAGUUGAAUUCCCCAUGAAAUUCUCUCCGCUGCACAUCCGUUGUCGGAGCCCAUCGUCGACGUCUCGUUGACGGCGGUCACGAGCAAGAGCACCCGUUUUUGACGGGAGCUGCUCCAUACCCUGCUUCCCCUCCUCACCCCCACCCUGUAGUGGUUGGUUGCGAGAAAAAGAAUGACCGUGUACAGUUCCCGUUGGUCGCCUUGCUGCCCUGGGGCGCGAGCUCAUCCACCAGGGGUGCUGGCAGCCGUCCAAGUGGAACAUUGACGCCAAUACAAGUUGAAUCAUGGGAGCGUUGACAUGUUGAGAAAUAAUUAAGUGCGAAAUUCUAAGGCUGUAUGAUCUAUUAACAACAUGAAUUGCAUUUUUCAUCCUUACUGGAUGUUGAGCAUGGCUAGAUUAUAUUUGGCAUUAACACCAUCGGUGUGUAUGCAAAAUCCUCUUUUUUCUCAAUUAUGGUUAAUGCUAUUGUAUGAUACAUAAAAAUUUAGAUAUGAGGGCACUCUUGCUGUAUACACAUGGUAUGACUAUUCUGAAAAAGUUAAAAUUAUAAAAGCAGAUAAGUUCACAGGUUCACCGGUGGAAGUUUUAGGAAUAAAAAGAUCAAAGAAAAGAAGAGUUCAUAAAAUGGUAGUACUGUCUGCUGUUGGCUGAUGUCUCAUGUUGCCUGAAGCCCCUGCUGCUUGCUAGCUACUUGUUGUGCGUGCGCAUUUGUGUGCUGCUGCUGUUUGUUGCUGCAGCAGGGUGAUGUGUGUGAGAGAGAUAGAUAGCAAAUGGAAUUAUCUUCCACAUUGACUAACUCGUGACACACUUGGUUCAGUUUCUAAAUUUAAUCUUGUUCAAUUAGAAUUUUAAUUCAGUUCAAAGACUGUUUCUAUUUAUCUCCUCGAUGUUCAGUUUUGUGUUCUGUUGUUUGCCCCCAAUUGAUCCUUGUGUUAAUGUUUGUAUAUGUUGUGCACUUCUGAUCCCAUAGUGAAGUGAAAAAUGACAAGCGAGAUACGUACUAGUUUGGAAAGUUUCCAAGUUUGAACACAUAAACCUAAAAAAGUUCAUUGAAAAAGUUUGGUUUGCCUGUUCCGUGAAAAUGUCUUGCUAAAGAAAUAUCUCUUGUGCACUUAUUUAUUCGCCUGAAUAUUUGUUUUGAUUCUUAGGUGCGAGAUGGCGGCCGCUGACAUCUCUAAAUCCCUCUACAAACAGGUGGUUGGCUACUCCAAGCGGUAAAUGUGGUCGGAUUCAGCAGCUAGCUCUUCCUCGAGCAACCAUUUGGAGAACUUUAUUGUGUUCUUGUGGUGGUGAUUGAUUUUAGGAUCAGUAAAGUUGAUGUUGGUAGCUAACUUGCGUAUGGAACCUGCAAAUUCAAUAUUGGCAUUAGAUUCAGUUCUUGUACAAAUGUCCCAGAGUUCACAUUUAUGUGGGUAAAAGUUUAUUUUAAUUCAGCUACAGAAACCAUGCAGGUUCAGUGAUGAUGAUACCAUAAGUUCGGACAAGAAAAAAAAUAAGAAUUAAAACAAAAUACUUUAAAUUCUAUAAGUUCAAGUGCUCAUCCACACAAGGUAAUUCA